GGAAGCGUGCCCGAGAACUCAGGGAUUACCUUGAUAGAGUAAAUACAGGAACAACCCUCGCUUCCU
Molecule: transfer RNA, 66 nt
Filed under: Tropidophis haetianus (Haitian dwarf boa)
Lineage: Eukaryota; Metazoa; Chordata; Lepidosauria; Squamata; Tropidophiidae
Description: tRNA-Ile
Source: RNAcentral